Molecule: ribosomal RNA, 292 nt
Filed under: uncultured bacterium
Lineage: Bacteria
Description: partial 16S ribosomal RNA
Rfam family: Bacterial small subunit ribosomal RNA
Source: RNAcentral
GUGCCAGCCGCCGCGGUAAUACGUAGGCAGCAAACGUUGUUCGGAAUUACUGGGCGUAAAGAGUGUGUAGGCGGUUUGGCAAGUUUGGUGUGAAAUCUCCCGGCUUAACUGGGAGGGUGCGCCGAAAACUGCCAGGCUAGAGUAUUGGAGAGGAAAGCGGAAUUCCUGGUGUAGCGGUGAAAUGCGUAGAUAUCAGGAGGAACACCGGUGGUGUAGACGGCUUUCUGGACAAUUACUGACGCUGAGACACGAAAGCGUGGGGAGCAAACAGGAUUAGAAACCCGGGUAGUCC